CUGCCGGCGACCGGCGCACGGGUGAGUAACACGUAUGGAACCUGCCCGCAGCAGGGGGAUAAGCGGAAGAAAUUCCGUCUAAUACCGCGUAACAACGUUGGGAGGCAUCUCCCGAUGUUUAAAGAUUUAUCGGCUGCGGAUGGCCACGCGGCGCAUUAGCUAGUCGGCGGGGUAACGGCCCACCGAGGCGACGAUGCGUAGGGGUUCUGAGAGGAAGGUCCCCCACACUGGUACUGAGACACGGACCAGACUCCUACGGGAGGCAGCAG
This 269-nucleotide ribosomal RNA is filed under the name uncultured bacterium. RNAcentral describes it as "partial 16S ribosomal RNA". It matches the Rfam family "Bacterial small subunit ribosomal RNA", at positions 85 to 354 of the family's 1533-position model. The record is from RNAcentral.